ACCGCCAUUAGCUCAUCAGGAAAGAGCGCCAGCCUUCGAAGCUGGUUGCGCGGAGUUCGGGUCCCUGAAGGCGGUU
Molecule: transfer RNA, 76 nt
Filed under: Shigella boydii
Lineage: Bacteria; Pseudomonadati; Pseudomonadota; Gammaproteobacteria; Enterobacterales; Enterobacteriaceae
Description: tRNA-Arg
Rfam family: tRNA
About the family: Transfer RNA (tRNA) molecules are approximately 80 nucleotides in length. Their secondary structure includes four short double-helical elements and three loops (D, anti-codon, and T loops).
Source: RNAcentral